RNAcentral lists this unclassified non-coding RNA (276 nucleotides) under Hevea brasiliensis (rubber tree). The record is from RNAcentral. Lineage: Eukaryota; Viridiplantae; Streptophyta; Magnoliopsida; Malpighiales; Euphorbiaceae.
AUUUUGUUGUAGCACAAUUCUGCCUUUCCAUAUACAGCAUUUUACUGAGCCAGAAACAAUGAGUAUUAUAACACAUUAAAUAGGAGUUAAGCAAGAGAAGAGAAACCUAUUAACUUAAAAUUAUCAACCAACUAUAUUUUUUCAAACCAUUGCUACUUUACCUACAUUUUACACUGCAGCACAGUUGUGACCUGAAUCUAACACCUCAAGUAUCAAGAAAAUGAAAGAAAAAAAAGACGCUUUCGUGAACAAAAAGGAAGAGGGGGGGGGGGGUUG